AGUUUGAUCCUGGCUCAGAAUGAACGUUGGCGGCGUGGAUUAGGCAUGCGAGUCGCGCGAUAAUGUAGCAAUACAGGACAGCGGCGAAAGGGAGAGGACAACAUAGGAAUCUGCCCUGGGGUCGGGGAUAGCGUCGGGAAACUGACGGUAAUACCCGAUAAUAUCUUUGGAUCAAAGGAGCAAUUUGCCCCGGGAUGAGCCUAUGCCCCAUUAGCUAGUUGGCGGUGUAAUGGACCACCAAGGCUGUGAUGGGUAGCUGGUGUGAGAGCACGACCAGCCUCACUGGCACUGAGACACUGGCCAGACACCUACGGGUGGCUGCAGUCGAGAAUCUUCGGCAAUGGACGAAAGUCUGACCGAGCGACGCCGCGUGUGGGAUGAAGGUCUUCGGAUUGUAAACCACUGUCGAGGGGGAUUAAGGGAAACUUGAAAGAACCCUGGAGGAAGGGGAGGCUAAGCUCGUGCCAGCAGCCGCGGUAAGACGAGCUCCCCAAACGUUAUUCGGUAUCACUGGGCUUAAAGAGUUCGUAGGCGGCGAAGUAGGUGAGGUGUGAAAGCCCUCGGCUCAACCGAGGAACUGCGCUUCAAACCGCUUUGCUAGAGGGAGAUAGGGGUAAGCGGAACAGAUGGUGGAGCGGUGAAAUGCGUUGAUAUCAUCUGGAACACCGGUGGCGAAAGCGGCUUACUGGGUCUUUUCUGACGCUGAGGAACGAAAGCUAGGGUAGCGAACGGGAUUAGAUACCCCGGUAGUCCUAGCCGUAAACGAUGAGCACUAGUCUGAGGGACUUUCACGGUUUCUCGGACGUAGCGAAAGUGUUAAGUGCUCCGCCUG
Molecule: ribosomal RNA, 832 nt
Filed under: uncultured Planctomycetota bacterium
Lineage: Bacteria; Pseudomonadati; Planctomycetota
Description: bacterial SSU rRNA
Rfam family: Bacterial small subunit ribosomal RNA
Source: RNAcentral